This 761-nucleotide long non-coding RNA is filed under the name Vigna radiata. RNAcentral's name for it is "long non-coding RNA (VRAD_LNC011292)". Lineage: Eukaryota; Viridiplantae; Streptophyta; Magnoliopsida; Fabales; Fabaceae. The record is from RNAcentral.
ACAAUUAUAAAAUAUAUAAAAAAAUAUUGAAGUACAUUAAUUAAUGUAAUUAACAAAGAAAAAACUUGAUUAAAUAAUGUAUCUAAAUAGAUAUUUUAAUACUUAUUGAAGUUAAUGAAAUUUUAUAAAUUUAAUAGCUAAAGGCAGAAUAGUAUAAUAAGACAAACACACACCUCAAAUACCAUCUAGUGUCAUUUAUGAGUGUUUUUCUAAUGCUAACAGGUGAAGAUGAGUGACAGCAUAAAUGUGUUCUUGAGUGAUUCUUCCUACACCUCCCUAACCUCAUCCUGCAUCUCUCAAUUUUGUUUUAAUUCCAACUAUACCCCUAAGUCUACUUGUGUCAUAGUCUCAGAAGCAUAUUUGGGUUUUAUAAAAAGUUUAUUUCCUCUACCGCAUCUCACCCCAAACCAAACCCUACACUCCCUUUAUUAUUUCUUCUUUCUCCCUUUCGUCGUCUUCCCCUCCUCCAUCUUUUUUACCAUUUUUGAACGUUUUGCGAUAUUCCUUCCCCUCCUCUCUAUUGCUCAUUUGUACACUGUGUCAUGGUUAGUUGUGUAGCAGGUCUUCUUCUCACAUACGUAUAUCAACUUUUUUUCUAGCGUCCAGGUUAGUUCUUUUCAUUUAUACUUGAUCUUUCUGAUGUUGUGGGUGUGGGAAAAAAAUGCUUGUAUGAUGAAUAUAUGUUAGUAUGGUUGAUUUACAUAUUUUUUUCUGCUUGAUCUGUGUUGUUGGCCAUAUUUUUUUGCUGCUUGAACUGUGUU